GAUGAACGCUAGCGGCAGGCUUAACACAUGCAAGUUGCGGGGCAGCAUUGGUACUUGUACCAGAUGGCGACCGGCGCACGGGUGCGUAACGCGUAUGCAACCUACCUUAUACAGGAGAAUAGCCCAGAGAAAUUUGGAUUAAUGCUCCAUAGUUUUAUAGAUAAGCAUUUAUUUAUAAAUAAAGCUCCGGCGGUAUAAGAUGGGCAUGCGUGACAUUAGCUAGAUGGUGAGGUAACGGCUCACCAUGGCGACGAUGUCUAGGGGUCCUGAGAGGGUUAUCCCCCACACUGGUACUGAGACACGGACCAG
Molecule: ribosomal RNA, 309 nt
Filed under: uncultured bacterium
Lineage: Bacteria
Description: bacterial SSU rRNA
Rfam family: Bacterial small subunit ribosomal RNA
Source: RNAcentral